CCCCGACUGCGGCGGGCAGGGACAUCCGUGGGCGAGCUCAGGACGCUCUUCAUGCUCUCGUGGCCCACCUCUGCCUGCUCCUGCUGCGUGGGGCUGGCUGACACCACGGCGGGUGGUGAUGCCUCGGUGAUGCCAGAGAACUUCUCGGUCUCUGUGAUGAGCCGGCCACGCGUCUUGUUGCGCUCACGGUGGGCCGCACGCUUCUUCUGCUGCUGCAGGACGCGCUCCCGGCACGUGCGGUACUCCAGGGCGAACUCCCGCAGCAGCUUGCAGAUGGGCAUCACCUUCA
Molecule: long non-coding RNA, 289 nt
Filed under: Gallus gallus (chicken)
Lineage: Eukaryota; Metazoa; Chordata; Aves; Galliformes; Phasianidae
Source: RNAcentral